Non-coding RNA from Myotis lucifugus (little brown bat), 75 nucleotides. The record is from Rfam. NCBI's taxonomy places the organism in Eukaryota, Metazoa, Chordata, Mammalia, Chiroptera, Vespertilionidae.
GGUGGUUCUUGGGUAAGGCACCCUGGAAUCAGGCUCCCUCCUCUCUGUUUCCAGGUGCGUCACCCAAGAACCGCC